Non-coding RNA from Nylanderia fulva, 647 nucleotides. The record is from RefSeq and is a predicted model, not a curated record. Lineage: Eukaryota; Metazoa; Arthropoda; Insecta; Hymenoptera; Formicidae.
AAAAAUGUAAAUACCUUUAUUAUAAAACAAAUUCCACCUGUUAUUGAUGAUCCUAAAUGGGAAUCUUAUCCCAUUAAAUUUCAUGGAUAUUAUGAUUUAUUAGAAGAAGCUAGACAGAGAGCAACAAACUAUUCUUCAAAUAAGGAAAGCAAUAUAAAUGAAAUAAAGAAGUCCGCACAAGACAGUUGAAUAAAACUGUUUCUCACGAUGAGUCAGAAUCUGAUUCUGAUGACUCACGUUUAGUUAUACCAAAUCCACCAAAUCUUACUGUAAAUACAAAUGCCUCGCAAUCAAUUAACAAAAGUCAAUCUAUCGCAACUGUUAUUAAUUCAUCAGUUGUCAGCAAUGAUAUUGACCUGGAGAUUCUUGAUGGAAUUUUAGUAUCACUUAAAAGUAUACAGGAUGUACAUACGUUAAUAUCAGAUGGAUUCGAAAAAAUGGAAGGUCAUUUUAAGAAUAUAUAUACAGCUAUAACUACAGUUACAUUAGGAAUACAAGAAUGAAUACUAAAUGUUCAUUUAACAAAUAUAGAAAAACAAAAUAAUCAACAUAAAUCCAAAGCAUCUGUCACGGAUACAUCAAAUAUACAUCAAUUUUUUCCAUUUAAAAAUAUAAAUGAAGUAACAGCUUUUGAAAACCGUUUAUCA